CACUCUCCCGCUUCCUCUUCUUUCAGAAUCCGAGUCUCUCUCUCUCUCUCUCUCUCUCUCUCCGUUUCAAUUGAGAGGAGUCUAGAGUUAAGUUUCGAGGUUUUUGGGUAAAGGUGCUUUUUGUGUAUCAAAAUUGUAGAAUUAGGGUUUAUUUUCAAUUUGCUUUUCUCAAUUUCUUUCUAAAUUCUAAUGUUACCGGUCAGAGCUAAAAUGUCGCUUCAUUCUUGAAGAUUUUGGGGCCAAAUAUCAGUAAAAGGUCGGAGUAAAAAUUUGGGCUGAUUAUGCUUCCAUGAUCGAUCAGGAGAAAAUCAAACCUAAAUAUGUGGCUUGAUUAUGAUUCUAAAUUUGGGAGGCAACGAAUUAUGGGUUUUUUUUCUCUAGUUCUCCCUUCUCGGCUGUUCAAAUUUGGAUCUCAGACCAACUAUGAGAUCGGAGCUAGGGUUUCGUGAUCCUGUCUCUUCGCAAGGAAGCUUGGACGUGACAUGUGGGCUUCUCUUACGAACGUAACUCUACUGUCUAGGCUAAUAUAU
Molecule: long non-coding RNA, 530 nt
Organism: Asparagus officinalis (garden asparagus)
Lineage: Eukaryota; Viridiplantae; Streptophyta; Magnoliopsida; Asparagales; Asparagaceae
Exons: 4
Source: RefSeq, a predicted model, not a curated record